UCCAUCCGGGCUAAACUACAAUGACCGGCGUGCCCCGCGCUCCGCGCCCUUUCUCUUUCAGCCUCGGGGACCUGGGAGCCUCGGCGGACCUGCUGACCGGGAACCGGUAUGGCGGCCACUCUGGGCAGCGGGGAGCGCUGGACCGAAGGGGGAAUUUGACAGACGCGGGUCCCUGAGCUCACAGAACUGUCAGUCCACUGAGAGAGUUUGACCGGUUAACAGCCAAUUACAAAACACGGCCACUUACAUUGAUGCAGUUAGAAGAAACAAAUACCCAGAAGACAAAACCCCCGAGAGUCAUGACCCCUGUGGUUGCUGUAGCUGCAUGAA
This is an RNA transcript of Jaculus jaculus (lesser Egyptian jerboa), 330 nucleotides long. RefSeq lists it as uncharacterized. The transcript is spliced from 3 exons. The record is from RefSeq and is a predicted model, not a curated record. Lineage: Eukaryota; Metazoa; Chordata; Mammalia; Rodentia; Dipodidae.